RNAcentral lists this ribosomal RNA (2403 nucleotides) under Triticum aestivum (bread wheat). RNAcentral describes it as "partial small subunit ribosomal RNA". The record is from RNAcentral. Lineage: Eukaryota; Viridiplantae; Streptophyta; Magnoliopsida; Poales; Poaceae.
CGUUUGGCUAACAACCAUGCUAUGUACAAAAUAUUUGUCAGGUACUUUGUUAUAAUUGAUGGCUUAUGGGCUACAUCAGUAUGGGAUGUAGUUAGUCGUGCUUUUCCACAGAAUGGUCGUUGUAGCAGAAUAAUAACUACGACAGAAGUAAUGGAAGUAGCUCUCGCAUGCUGUUGUUUUAUACCUGAGCAUAUUUUUAAAAUGGAAGCUCUCAGUGAUAAAGACUCAGAGAAAAUAUUUCUCCAAAGAAUUCUCGUCCCAGGAAAUCAAAGUCCCAAGCAGUUUGAUGAUGUUAUACCUCAGAUUGUGAGAAGUUGUGGUGGCCUGCCACUAGCAAUCAUCAUUGUAGCCAGAAUUUUAGCAAGUCAACCUGAGAAACUAGAACAAUGGGGCAGUGCACACAAUUCUUUUGAGUCCAUUUUUGGGGUAAAUCCUACCAUGGAAGGGUUUAUGGGACAAAUAUUGAACGUUUGCUUCAUUAGUCUGCCACGCUAUUUGAAGACAUGUCUGCUAUAUCUUAGUACAUAUCCAGAGGGCUACCUAUUCUUGAAAGAAGAUUUGGUGAAGCAAUGGGUAGCCGAGGGUUUUAUAUGUGCAAACGAAGGUGAAGACAUGGAGGAAGUUGCCAAGAGAUACUUUGAUGAGCUCGUCAGCAUGGGACUAAUUCAAGUUAUGGACAUCAACUGCAAUUAUGAGUUGUUUUGUUAUUCAGUACACCAGCUGGUACUUGAUCUCAUUACAUACAAGUCUAUUGAAGAGAAUUUCAUCACUGUGGUGGAUUAUUCACAAACAACAAUACCAUUUAAUGAUAAAGUUCGUCGAUUGUCACUCCACUUCGGCAGUGCAACAUAUGCAACUACACCAACAAGUAGCAGAUUAUCACAAGUUCGAUCACUCUUCUUUUCUGGCCUGUUUAAUUGCAUGCCUUCAUUUGUGGUGUUUAAGUUUCUCCGAGUUCUAAACCUUCAUGUUUGGGAUGAUAGUGGAACCACGGAGUUGAACCUUACAGAAAUUUGUGAUCUCUUGCAGUUGAGAUAUUUGCAGGUCACAUGUGAUGUCAUUGUAAAGCUACCAGAUAGGAUUGCAGGGAUGAAACACUUGGAAACAUUGGAAAUAAACGCACGAUCAUGUGAUGUUCCACCGGACAUUGUCAGACAUUCAAGCUUGUUGCAUCUCCGUCUUCAAGGUGCAAAUCUACCCAGUGGAAUUGGGGGCAUCAGAUCUCUGCGUACACUCAUGUACUUUGACCUUGGCAAUAGCUCUGAAGACAGCCUAAGGGGCCUUGGUGAGCUGAUAAACCUGCAGGAUCUUCAUCUCACCUAUUCUUCAUCACCCUCUAGUGAACAUUUGAAGAGAAAUCUGAUAGCUCUGGCCGCUUCAGUCGGAAAACUGUGCAACCUCAAAAAUCUCACUCUGGCUACUGGUGGUACUGCUGCAAGGGUUGUUCUUUUUGAUGGUUCGAGUGACAUGUUUUUGCCCAUGUUUCUUGAGAGAUUUGAGUUGUUGCCUCCCAUUUGCAUCCUUUCCAGACUUCCAGAGUGGAUCGGACAACUCCGCAAAAUCUGCAUUGUUAAAGUUGCUGUCAAUGAACUACCAACUACUGAUAUUGCUAUGCUCACGGGAUUACCUUCCCUCACAGUUCUCUGGUUGUCUGUUCAGACUGCUCCUGAGGGAAGGACCGUCUUCAACAAUAAGGCAUUCCCAGUUCUCAAGUAUUUCAAGUUUACUUGUGGUGUACUUUGCAUGUCUUUCAUGGCAGGAGCCAUGCCUGAUCUUCGUAGGCUCAAGCUGGUUUUCAACACCCAUACCGGGGAGGAGUACGACAACAUGCUUGCUGGAAUUGAGCACCUUUCAAAACUCCAGGAUAUUGUUGUACAAAUUGGAGCUACCACCGGAUCUGACUGGAGGGCUGCAGAAUCAGCGAUUAACGAGGCCGUUGACAAGCACCCAGAAUUUCCUGGACGUAUCUUUCAAUGUGUGGAUCCGAUUGCAGAAGAGUUCCGUCCUUUAGAGAAACAUCAUUGGAGCAACGAAAAAAGCACAUUAGAUGAAAAAAUUGGGGUUUUAGAGAAAUCUAAUGAUAUGAACAAACAUGCUGAUAUUGGGUACGGAUCUUCUUUAUCCAAGCAGCAAUUCCUUGCAACCUUGCCUUUAUUCAUUCUUUUCUUUUCCUCCAAUAUUACCAUUAACCAAAAGACCAUUAGCACUAUGACAAAUCUUUUUUCGCCAUUUCCCGGCACCGUGAAAGGUCUCACAUUUAAUGUGGUUUUUAUCAAACCAAAGCUUCUUGUAGUAUAUUGUAAUUUCCUCUUCUCGUCUUGUAGUGUUUUCACCUUUUUUUUGUUCUCUCCAGGUCAUCUCAACUUCCGAAUCUGCCAUCGACUGUUGCUUCGGGUCGCCUGA